This 459-nucleotide ribosomal RNA is filed under the name uncultured bacterium. RNAcentral describes it as "partial 16S ribosomal RNA". It matches the Rfam family "Bacterial small subunit ribosomal RNA", at positions 338 to 795 of the family's 1533-position model. The record is from RNAcentral.
CCUACGGGAGGCAGCAGUGAGGAAUAUUGGUCAAUGGCCGGAAGGCUGAACCAGCCAAGCCGCGUGAAGGACGAAGGUGCCAAGCAUUGUAAACUUCUUUUGUCAAGGGACAAAAUCAGGCUCGAGAGCCUGACCGAGGGUCCUUGAAGAAAAAGCAUCGGCUAACUCCGUGCCAGCAGCCGCGGUAAUACGGAGGAUGCGAGCGUUAUCCGGAUUUAUGGGGUUUAAAGGGUGCGUAGGCGGGCUGUUAAGUCAGCGGUAAAAGCCCGGGGCUAAACCCCGGCGAGCCGUUGAAACUGGCUGUCUUGAGAUGUCGAGAGGUAUGCGGAAUGCGCAGUGUAGCGGUGAAAUGCGUAGAUAUUGCGCAGAACUCCGAUUGCGAAGGCAGCAUACCGGCGGCGAUCUGACGCUGAGGCACGAAAGCGUGGGUAUCGAACAGGAUUAGAUACCCUGGUAGUC